AACGAACGCUGGCGGCAGGCCUAACACAUGCAAGUCGAGCGCCCCGCAAGGGGAGCGGCGGACGGGUGAGUAACGCGUGGGAAUAUGCCCUUUGCUACGGAAUAGUCUCGGGAAACUGGGGGUAAUACCGUAUACGCCCUUUGGGGGAAAGAUUUAUCGGCGAAGGAUUAGCCCGCGUUGGAUUAGGUAGUUGGUGGGGUAAUGGCCUACCAAGCCGACGAUCCAUAGCUGGUUUGAGAGGAUGAUCAGCCACACUGGGACUGAGACACGGCCCAGACUCCUACGGGAGGCAGCAGUGGGGAAUCUUAGACAAUGGGGGCAACCCUGAUCUAGCCAUACCGCGUGAGUGAUGAAGGCCUUAGGGUUGUAAAGCUCUUUCAGCUGGGAAGAUAAUGACGGUACCAGCAGAAGAAGCCCCGGCUAACUCCGUG
RNAcentral lists this ribosomal RNA (431 nucleotides) under uncultured bacterium. RNAcentral's name for it is "partial 16S ribosomal RNA". It matches the Rfam family "Bacterial small subunit ribosomal RNA", at positions 29 to 507 of the family's 1533-position model. The record is from RNAcentral.